Molecule: unclassified non-coding RNA, 390 nt
Filed under: soil metagenome
Description: partial contains 5.8S ribosomal RNA, internal transcribed spacer 2, and large subunit ribosomal RNA
Rfam family: 5.8S ribosomal RNA (bases 1-122)
Source: RNAcentral
GAUGAAGAACGCAGCGAAAUGCGAUACUUGGUGUGAAUUGCAGAAUCCCGUGAACCAUCGAGUCUUUGAACGCAAGUUGCGCCCGAAGCCAUUAGGCCGAGGGCACGCCUGCCUGGGCGUCACACGUCGUUGCCCCCCCAUCUACUCCUUCGGGAUUGCGGGGGGCGGAUGAUGGCCUCCCGUGCGCCUCGUCGUGCGGUUGGCAUAAAUGCCAAGUCCUCGGCGACGCACGCCACGACAAUCGGUGGUUGCGAAACCUCGGUUGCCCGUCGUGUGCGGUCGUCGCGCAUCGAGGGCUCGAAAAAAUGCUCGGCUCCGGCUGGGCUUUCAACGCGACCCCAGGUCAGGCGGGGUUACCCGCUGAAUUUAAGCAUAUCAAUAAGCGGAGGA